AUUGAACGCUGGCGGCAUGCCUUACACAUGCAAGUCGAACGGUAACAGGUUAAGCUGACGAGUGGCGAACGGGUGAGUAAUGUAUCGGAACGUGCCCAGUCGUGGGGGAUAACGUAGCGAAAGCUACGCUAAUACCGCAUCCGAUCUACGGAUGAAAGCGGGGGAUCGCAAGCCCUCGCGCGAGUGGAGCGGCCGAUAUCAGAUUAGGUUGUUGGGGAGGUAAAAGCCCACCAAGCCUGCGAUCUGUAGCGGGUCUGAGAGGACGACCAGCCACACUGGAACUGAGACACGGUCCAGACUCCUACGGGAGACAGCAGUGGGGAAUUUUGGACAAUGGACGCAAGUCUGAUCCAGCAAUGCCGCGUGCAGGACGAAGGCCUUCGGGUUGUAAACUGCUUUUGUACGGAACGAAACGGUGAGCUCUAAUACAGUUUGCUAAUGACGGUACCGUAAGAAUAAGCACCGGCUAACUACGUGCCAGCCGCCGCCGUAA
This 493-nucleotide ribosomal RNA is filed under the name uncultured bacterium. RNAcentral describes it as "partial 16S ribosomal RNA". It matches the Rfam family "Bacterial small subunit ribosomal RNA", at positions 30 to 523 of the family's 1533-position model. The record is from RNAcentral.